GGCCGCGAAUUCGCCCUUAGGGUUUGAUUAUGGCUCAGGACGAACGCUGGCGGCGUGCCUAAUACAUGCAAGUCGAGCGAUGAUUAAAGAUAGCUUGCUAUUUUUAUGAAGAGCGGCGAACGGGUGAGUAACGCGUGGGAAAUCUGCCGAGUAGCGGGGACAACGUUUGGAAACGAACGCUAAUACCGCAUAACAAUGAGAAUCGCAUGAUUCUUAUUUAAAAGAAGCAAUUGCUUCACUACUUGAUGAUCCCGCGUUGUAUUAGCUAGUUGGUAGUGUAAAGGACUACCAAGGCGAUGAUACAUAGCCGACCUGAGAGGGUGAUCGGCCACACUGGGACUGAGACACGGCCCAGACUCCUACGGGAGGCAGCAGUAGGGAAUCUUCGGCAAUGGGGGCAACCCUGACCGA
RNAcentral lists this ribosomal RNA (411 nucleotides) under uncultured bacterium. RNAcentral describes it as "partial 16S ribosomal RNA". It matches the Rfam family "Bacterial small subunit ribosomal RNA", at positions 1 to 390 of the family's 1533-position model. The record is from RNAcentral.